Molecule: ribosomal RNA, 253 nt
Filed under: uncultured bacterium
Lineage: Bacteria
Description: partial 16S ribosomal RNA
Rfam family: Bacterial small subunit ribosomal RNA
Source: RNAcentral
UACGUAGGGGGCAAGCGUUGUCCGGAAUCAUUGGGCGUAAAGCGCGCGUAGGUGGCCCGGUAAGUCCGCUGUAAAAGUCCAGGGCUCAACCCUGGAAAGCCGGUGGAUACUGUCGGGCUCGAGUCCGGAAGAGGCGAGUGGAAUUCCUGGUGUAGCGGUGGAAUGCGCAGAUAUCAGGAGGAACACCGAUGGCGAAGGCAGCUUGCUGGGACGGUACUGACACUGAGGCGCGAAAGCGUGGGGAGCGAACAGG